UACGAAGGGGGCUAGCGUUGUUCGGAAUUACUGGGCGUAAAGCGAGCGUAGGUUGCUCGACGAGUCAGUGGUGAAAGCCCAGAGCUUAACUCUGGAACUGCCAUUGAAACUGUCGAGCUGGAAUCUCAGAGGGGAUAGCGGAAUUCCAAAUGUAGGGGUGAAAUCCGUAGAUAUUUGGAGGAACACCGGUGGCGAAGGCGGCUAUCUGGAUGAGUAUUGACACUGAGGCUCGAAAGCGUGGGGAUCAAACAGG
RNAcentral lists this ribosomal RNA (253 nucleotides) under uncultured bacterium. Its description in RNAcentral is "partial 16S ribosomal RNA". It matches the Rfam family "Bacterial small subunit ribosomal RNA", at positions 524 to 776 of the family's 1533-position model. The record is from RNAcentral.